Molecule: ribosomal RNA, 468 nt
Filed under: uncultured bacterium
Lineage: Bacteria
Description: partial 16S ribosomal RNA
Rfam family: Bacterial small subunit ribosomal RNA
Source: RNAcentral
GACGAACGCUGGCGGCGUGCUUAACACAUGCAAGUCGAACGGAAAGGCCCUGCUUUUGUUGGGUGCUCGAGUGGCGAACGGGUGAGUAACACGUGAGUAACCUGCCCUUGACUUUGGGAUAACUUCAUGAAACUGGGGCUAAUACCGGAUAGGAGCUCCUGCUGCAUGGUGGGGGUUGGAAAGUUUCGGCGGUUGGGGAUGGACUCGCGGCUUAUCAGCUUGUUGGUGGGGUAGUGGCUUACCAAGGCUUUGACGGGUAGCCGGCCUGAGAGGGUGACCGGCCACAUUGGGACUGAGAUACGGCCCAGACUCCUACGGGAGGCAGCAGUGGGGAAUAUUGCACAAUGGGCGGAAGCCUGAUGCAGCAACGCCGCGUGCGGGAUGACGGCCUUCGGGUUGUAAACCGCUUUCGCCUGUGACGAAGCGUGAGUGACGGUAAUGGGUAAAGAAGCACCGGCUAACUACGUG